UGCUUGAGGCUUAAUGAUAGAGUGCUUGCCUAGUAUGCAUGAGGCCCUGAGUUCACUCCUCAGCACAGCAA
Molecule: transfer RNA, 71 nt
Filed under: Ictidomys tridecemlineatus (thirteen-lined ground squirrel)
Lineage: Eukaryota; Metazoa; Chordata; Mammalia; Rodentia; Sciuridae
Description: Spermophilus tridecemlineatus (thirteen-lined ground squirrel) tRNA
Rfam family: tRNA
About the family: Transfer RNA (tRNA) molecules are approximately 80 nucleotides in length. Their secondary structure includes four short double-helical elements and three loops (D, anti-codon, and T loops).
Source: Rfam by way of RNAcentral